RNAcentral lists this ribosomal RNA (387 nucleotides) under uncultured bacterium. RNAcentral describes it as "bacterial SSU rRNA". It matches the Rfam family "Bacterial small subunit ribosomal RNA", at positions 29 to 420 of the family's 1533-position model. The record is from RNAcentral.
AUUGAACGCUGGCGGCAUGUCUUACACAUGCAAGUCGAACGGCAGCGCGGGGCAACCUGGCGGCGAGUGGCGAACGGGUGAGUAAUAUAUCGGAACGUGCCCUGGAGUGGGGGAUAACGCAGCGAAAGUUGCGCUAAUACCGCAUACGAUCUAAGGAUGAAAGCAGGGGACCGCAAGGCCUUGUGCUCCUGGAGCGGCCGAUAUCUGAUUAGCUAGUGGUGGGGUAAAGGCCUACCAAGGCAUCGAUCAGUAGCUGGUCUGAGAGGACGACCAGCCACACUGGAACUGAGACACGGUCCAGACUCCUACGGGAGGCAGCAGUGGGGAAUUUUGGACAAUGGGCGCAAGCCUGAUCCAGCAAUGCCGCGCGAGUGAAGAAGGCCUCGG